This 2361-nucleotide long non-coding RNA is filed under the name Ananas comosus (pineapple). Its description in RNAcentral is "long non-coding RNA (ACOM_LNC013119)". Lineage: Eukaryota; Viridiplantae; Streptophyta; Magnoliopsida; Poales; Bromeliaceae. The record is from RNAcentral.
GGGUGUUUGGUCUCGACUAGAAUGCUAUCAAUAGUCCCAAGUUACUGAUAUUAUUAAUUUUUUAGUCAUUAAAUUGAGAAAUGUACGGAUAAAAUGAUAUAAGCUUUCUAUAGUUGAGUAGGUGGUUAAAUAGUAUAAUCUAAUAGAUAAAAAUAAUCAAACGGUGGAAAACUCGAUAGCACAAUCCUUGGUGCUAUCGAUAGUAUCUAAGCCGAACUCCUACAAAAAUAAUUUCUACAGAAUUAAUUUUGAUUUAAAAUUUUAAUUUUGAUUAAAGCUGUAGAGUGAUUUUUGUAGAAUUAAUUUUGGUUUGAAGAAUUAAUUUUGAUUAAAAUCUGUAUAGAUAGGUUGAAUUUAGAUAAAAGCAUUUUUUAAAAGUGAUUUUGUAAAACUAUUUAGCAAUUUUUUUUUGAUAUUUGCAUAUAUUAAUAUUUUACCAAAUUUUAUUUUAAAAUAAUUUAAAUUUUAAAUUUAAAUUUGAAUUAAAAUUUUUAAUUUUCAAAUUUGUACAAAAUUUAAAAUUUGUUAUUUUAAUUUAAAAUAUAAAUUUAAAAGGCCAAUUUGCAUAAAAAAAUUCACUAGUUUUGAGUUUUUGUAAAAAUAUGCCAUCUUUUUGAAUUUUGCAGAUUUAGGCCGAAUUUUUAGAAAUUGACCAAAAUAUCCUUGUUUCUUUUUAUCUCUCCUUUUUUUUUUUUCUCCCGUUCUUUUUUUUUUUCUCUCCCUAGAGGGCAGCGAAGGCGGAGGCGGAGGAGGCCCGCUUCGCCUCUACCCGGUGCACCCUUACCCUCGCCUGCGCACUCCCGCCGCCUUCCUCGCCUCCGACCUUGCGAAGGCCGUGUUGCAACCCUCUUUCCUUUUUUUUUUUUCUUUCCGACCCUCCUCCAUCGCCUCCUUGACUCUUUACGACAGUAAAGAGGGUAACAAAGCGUCCUCUCACUCCUGUUUUUUUAGCUCGUUCUUUUGCAAAGUUACACUAUUUCUAUUGCAAAGUUAUACUCUUUAAACUGGCCAAUUUUGCAAAUUGUAAUUUUUUAUGCAAAUUGGCCAAUUUUGUUUCUGGAAGUUAUAUUAUCCUUAAUCUAGCAAUUCCUAAUAAUCUUCUUUUAUAAUGUCAAUUAUACACCCAUUUAUAAAUGGUCUUAAAUAUUCUGUGCCAAAUAUUAGUCAAUUAUAUGACAAAGAAUAUGAUGUAAGAUUUGAAGCAGUUCCUGUAGCAAUGUUAAAAGUAUAUAGUAAGAAUACGUUGUAAUCUUUUAAAAUUUUAAUUUUACUGCCAAACAUUACAAUUUUUUUAAUUUAAAUCAAUCAAUAAUACUUUGACUUGCAAAUUUAAACUAAUUGCUUUAAUAAAUUUAUAAUUAUAAAAAUUAUGUAAAACAUAUUAAUUAAACCUANGGGAGAGGCUGGAGGGGCUCGUUAAUUGCUAUGGUUGGUGGUGGUGGUGGAAUGGAGGACGAGCGUUCCAGUAGUAGUAAUAUGUAGUUUGUUGAAGUCAAAGAUGGAGUUGGGAGAGUGAUUUAUAUAAGCGGACGGCUUUCUGGACUCGAGUCGUUUCAACUGUACAUUGUUGCCGGGCUUCUUUUUCACUUUAGAAAAGUUUAAACUUUAAACUACUGCGGCUUUGUGGACUGCCGUACGAAUUAAAAGAAAAAAUAAUUUUGUUUCUCGUAAGAGUGUUUGGUCUCGACUUGAAUGCUAUCAAUAGUCCCAAGUUAUUGAUGUUAUUAAUUUUUUAGUCAUUAAAUUCAGAAAUAUACGGAUAAAAUGAUAUGAGCUCUCUAUAGUUGAAUAGGUGGUUAAAUAGUAUAAUCUAAUAGAUAAAAAUAAUCAAAAAAUUAAAUUUUACGGUGGAAAACUCGAUAGCACAAUCCUUGGUGCUAUCGAUAGUAUCUAAGCCGAACUCCUACAAAAAUGAUUUCUACAGAAUUGAUUUUGAUUUAAAAAAUUAAUUUUGAUUAAAGCUGUAGUGUGAUUUUUGUAGAAUUAAUUUUGGUUUGAAGAAUUAAUUUUGAUUAAAAUCUGUAUAGAUAGGUUGAAUUUAGAUAAAAGCAUUUUUUAAAAGUGAUUUUGUAAAACUAUUUGGCAAUUUUUUUUUGAUAUUUGCAUAUAUUAAUAUUUUACCAAAUUUUAUUUUAAAAUAAUUUAAAUUUUAAAUUUAAAUUUGAAUUAAAAUUUUUAAAUUUUAAAUUUGUACAAAAUUUAAAAUUUGUUAUUUUAAUUUAAAAUAUAAAUUUAAAAUGCCAAUUUGCAUAAAACAAAUUCACUAGUUUUGAGUUUUUGUAAAAGUAGGCCACCUUUUUGGAUUUUGCGGAUUUGGGUCGAAUUUUUAGAAAUUGACCAAAAUAUCCUUAUUUUCUUUUA